Molecule: non-coding RNA, 5235 nt
Organism: Camellia sinensis
Lineage: Eukaryota; Viridiplantae; Streptophyta; Magnoliopsida; Ericales; Theaceae
Source: RefSeq, a predicted model, not a curated record
CAUAAUUUUUUUAGACUAAUAAAUUUGGUUACUAAUAUACUUACAGAAUUGUUUUAGACUAAUAAAUUUAGUUGCUAGUAUAUUAUUAACAUUUAGGGACCAAAUAUUUUCUCCAUCAUCAAUUAAAAACAAUUUGAGACCAAUUAUUUUCAUCAUUUUAACAAUUGAAAAGUCGGGCCCUCGUUCUUUACUUCAGCCCUAACUUGCUCAUUCUCUCUCUCUCUCUCUCCCUCCCUCCCUCUGUGAUCGAUCUUCAUACCUGUAAGAGCUCCAAGGCAGAUUGAGCUCUACAUUUGAAGAUUAAUAGUCGUUUUUCAAUUAACAAUUGAAGAUUGAGCUCAAUCUUCAAUUGUCAAUCUUCAAUCUCUCGCACCUCAGUUUGCUCAAUCUUCAGCCCUAAAGUCGGGAGCUCCAAGGCAGAUUGGGAGCUCAAUCUUCCUCAAAUUUUGGUGUGUGUGUGUGUCUCUCUCUCUCUCUCUCCGUAAUUGAUCUCCACAAUCGACCUGUGGAUUUGGCAGUAUUAAAGCUGCGAUUAGCAAGGUUGAAGAUACAACAGAGCGUAAGAAAGGACGUGGGAAGUCAUGAAGCCUCGCAUUACUCAAGAUAAAAAGUCAAGGGAAGCGAUUGGAUGUUGAAAUUUGUAGGAUUACUGGGAAUCCAUUGGGACCAUGGUCUAAUAAAUUCACCACCGAGUUGGGGAUCGUCACUAGGCAAUUUUCCCCACAAAAUGUGCCUAAGUGGAGUUUUAUUAGCCCCGAGGAUAAAGAAACGCUAAUUGCAUACCUUCGAGAAGGUUUCAUUUUUAGUAAUGAACCUUAUGCUAUUGCCUCUAUCCUUGGAAUGAUGAAACUCCGGUACAAGACCUACCGCUUUAAUCUAUGCCAACAUUUUAGAAGUUUCCCUACGAUGGAAUCAGCCCUUGCAAACCCACAUGAAGAUAUCGAAAAAGAGGUGUGGCGAUACCUGUGUCAAUUAUGGGAUGAUAAGACGUACUAGUUCAUUUUCAUCACAGUGUACCUUCAUCUCAGGGUAUAUCAGUUCGUAAUUAGGGUUUCACAAUCACUCUGGUAAGUUUUUCUACAAUCCAAUGAGUUUUUCUUUAGAAACACAGUUAAUUGCAUUUUAUAUUAGCCUUUCAUUAAUAGGGUUUCAAUUUCGUAAUAAAAGCUACAUGAAUUUAAAAAAUGUUAUAUCUCUCAUUUUGAACUUAUUCUUGAACAUUGUUGUGUGAUUUUGUCUGUAAAUUUUUCUGGUUUCAGAAUUUUUCUGGCAUUUGCUUGAUCUAUGUUUCUUCUUUGAAUUUUCUCUAAUUUGUUUAUGUUUAUUCUAUCAUUUUCUCUAGCAUGGUUAAUUUCUCUGUAUUUCUCUGUGUAAUUUUCAAAUUCAAUUCAUUCAAAUUUCUCUGCUCUAUAAAUUUCUCUGGCAUUUUAAUUUUCUCUGGAAUGUGUAAUUUUCUCAAGCAUUUUCAUUUUCUAUGCUUGCUAAAUUUAUAUUUCUUUUUUGAAUUUUCUUUGGCUAUAUAUUAUAUCUAUAUGUAAUUUUACUCUCUUGUCCGUGUCUUUUUUUUUUUUUUUGAUAAUGCAAGUAUCCCCAACCCUCUGGUUUUCCGGGAAGUCAGGACUAAUCCUGCGAGGUAAGUAGCCCGGGGGAAGCCGUGUACCCUUCUCAAACUCUUGUCCGUGUCUAUGUUUUUAUGGCAUUUAUAAUUUUCUCUGGCCACAUCACUUUUCUCCCUUGUAUGUGUCUGUCGUGUUUAAUUUUCUCUAAUUGUGUCUUUAAAUUUCUCUACCAUUUUCAUAUUAUGGAAUGGAAAUUUUCUCUGGCUUGCCAUGUUUAAUUUUCUCUGGAAUGUGUAAUUUUCUCUGUUAUUUUCAUUUUCUGUGCUUGCUAGAUUUAUAUUUCUUUCUUGAAUUUUCUUUGGCCAUAUUUUACAUCUAUAUGUAAUUUUUAGUAAUUAUUCAAAAUUUCUCUGUCUUAUGUUGCUUUAUUUAUUUUCUCUGGAAAUGGAAAUGAAUUGUAGCUGCAUGUAUUCCACAUUACUUUUCUCCUUUGCUUCUGUAUGCCAUGUUUUUAAUUUUCAGUGCCUAAUUUUCUCUGACAUUUAUAGUUUUCUUUGGCCACCUUAGUUUUCUCCCUUAUAUGUAAUUUUCUCUAGGAAUGGAAUUGAACUGUGGCUACAUGUAUUCCAUAUUAUUUUUCUCCCUUGUGCCUGUUUGCCAUGUUUUUAAUUUUUAGUGUCUAAUUUUCUCUGGCCACCUUAGUUUUAUCCCUUAUGUGUAAUUUUCUCUGGGAAUGGAAAUGAACUGUGGUUGCAUGUAUUCCACAUUACUUUUCUCCCUUGUGUCUGUUUGCCAUGUUUUUAAUUUUCAAUGUCUAAUUUUCUUUGACAUUUAUAAUUUUCUCUGGCCACAAUAGUUUUCUCUCUUAUGUGUAAUUUUCUCUGGGAAUGGAAAUGAAUUGUGGCUGCAUGUAUUCCACAUUACUUUUCUAUCUUGUGUCUGUCUGCAAUGUUUUUAAUUUUCAGUGUCUAAUUUUUUCUGACAUUUAUAAUUUUCUCUGGCCGCCUUAGUUUUCUCCUUAUGUGUAAUUUUCUCUGACAUUUUCAAUUUUCUCUGGGAUUUAAAGUUGACAUUUUUAUGUUUCCAUUGUCUAGAAACGGCGAAACGUAAAACCAGCAAAACACCAGAAACACCAAGAAAUAAACAAAAACUCUCUGAGUCUUCUUAUGAUCUUAGAUAAAAAAACAGCAAAACACCACAAACUCCUCACCAAAAAACACAAGUCCAAGGUGAUGAAGGAACAAGCCUCAAGAUGAGUACCCCAACUUAAAAAGACUCAAGCUCAAGGGCGAAAAAACCUGUUAAACUCCAAAGAAAGAGAGCUCAUUAAAGCAUUCAAUAUCGAUCCAACCUCUCAUCUGUUAUCACAUUUUUUGAAACACUUAAAUUCAAUUCAAACCAACUUGAAGAGCUUCAAAGGACGUCAUUCUGGUAUUUGAUCCAAGUUCUAACCAUUGGAAGGAUGGAUCCAAGAAAGUCUAGGAAAUCUGAUGAUGAUGUAGUUGUAAUAAUCCAAUGCUACAAUGAAAAAAUGAAAGCAUUCACUGCUGAUAAAAACAAAUUGACCUUUACAACCAACGACAUGACCUUGAUUUUUGGUUUGCAAGGUGGUAAAGGAGCCAUGUCACUAAAAUACUCAAAAAAGCCAAACACUGCAUUCCUAAGGCGAAGAUUCCUAAAGGACACAAGACUCAUUGAUCCUGUUCUUAAGAAUGCCUUAGUCAAAGUAAUGAAAGGCAGACAACCAACUGACUUCAAAGAUGUAGUAAUCAUUGUUACCUUGUACUUGUGUCUCACCCUAUUUUUUGCAACAAGUGGGAAUUCAAUAGGGUGAAUUUUUAUCAAGUACGUCAAACCUCUUGAAUCAAUGAAGCAAUAUGAUUGGUCAGAAGCUAUCGCAGCAACAUUGAUCGAUUCUAUCACAACAUUGCACAUAACUUCAAAAAAAGUUACGGGGUGCAUCAUUGCAUUGCUGUAUUGGCUAUGUGAACAUGUGAAUAUCAUCGAUUUGGAAGACAGUAACACAACUGAAUUCCCAAGAUGUACCAAGUGGAACCUACAAAGCUUGACCAAACAGUUACAGAAGACACCAGUCUACUCUCUUGUAUCUCGACAGUUAGAAUAGAAGUAGAACAACAACCAACAACCCAGCAAGAACAAGUGGCACACAAACAACAACCAAAACAAAAGACAAAAGUCUAUGUGAAAAAAGAUCCUACAUCAAUGAUAAAGAAUUUAAAGGCAAAAGAGAGGAAAGAAAAACAACAAGAUCCCGACUUUCAAUAUCCCAAAGUUGUGAAGGUGAUUAGAGGUUCAAAACAAGCUGCAAAGAAAAUAGAGUAAACCACCAAAGACAAAGAAGUACUUGAUGCCGAUGAGUACGUCUUGCCUCAACCAACAAACAUCAGAAAAUCUUGGGUUUUUCCACAAACUCUACCAGUUGCAAAAUUGGUAAAAGAACAUGUAAAAGAUAUUUUGCAGCACAUAUCAGAUGUGUCUGGACUCGAGUAAGUACAACAAAUAAAAUAGAAAAUAACAAACAACAAUUUACUAACUUAUAUUGCAUUAAUAACUACUAAAUCCCUUAUUUGUCAUCUUGUAGGCCUUUAAUCUAGACAAGUGAAUUGAAUCUCAUUACUUUUGAAGAUAUUAAAAACCUAAUAAAGGAAAAAAGAAAUUGCCAACAAUGUAAGUUUUUCAUCAAAAUUUCUUUGCAAUAUUCCAUCAGUCUUUAUAAACCAAUGUUACAAUUAUAAAUAAUAUUUCUCUGCAAUAUUCCAUAAGCUUGGUAUAUUACUACUUUUUUAUUUGAUUUUCUUUGUAAUUUACUUACUACUUUCUCUUAUUAAGAUACUUCUUGAAACCAGUUGUGCCACUAGUCUAAUUUUCUCUAGUUAGUUAUGUACAUUUAAAAUUUCUCUGUGUGUAUAUUUCUAAAAUUCUUGUCAUUUCAACUUUCUCAUAAUCAUUUUUUGAUUUUCUCUGACCGCAUAACUUCAUCAAGAUGACGGAAAAUCAAACUUUCCGAGUCUCAUUAUUUGACAAGCAUAUUGAAACCGCAUAGAGGAACCUCCCAAUAAAUACUGAGGGCAAUGAAAAGUCAACAGAUGAAAAUCACUGGACGGUGCUUGUCUUGGACAAACAAGACAAUUUAUGGAGGUACUACAACUCACUAAGGCCAAUGAGGGAUGAUGCACAAGACAAACAUAUCAAAGAUGCAAAACAAUUGCAAAAUUAUGUGGAGAAUUUUCUAAAAGCUUGUCUUGAAAGAGAGGCACAAUCACAACCCUAUUUUAAAUUGAUAGACUCACAAAACACAAAUUAUGACUUUCAAUAUGUCAACAAUGGUCCACACUAAGCCAGUGAUUCUGUGGAUUGUGGUUUCUUUGUAUGCUACAUAAUGAGACAAUAUACCAACUAUGAACCUAUCAGCUCGACAUUGUCAACACAAGAUGUAAGGUUGAUGAGGGUAGAAAUCAUAAAGAGAUUUAUGACCGAAGUUGGCCGGUCAUGGACAGAACCAGUUCAAAUACCACCAGAAGAAGAACCAAAAGUAUAAUAGUGAAAGGAAGACAAUGCCCACAAUGUAAUUAGGAUCAAUUUUUUUUUCUUCAUACAUUGAAGGAAAGAUGAUGUUUGACAUAUAUGUAUAUAUCUUUUUUUGACUAAUGUAAAU